AUGAAGCUGGGUCCUCCUGGCUCAGGGACCAGCACCACUACCGAGAGGGCAUCUGCCUCCCUGCCGGCUCCGGCUCCGGCCCCGCUGGCCACGGCCACAGCUCUGCACUCACCGACCGUGGCUCUGCUCCCUCUGGCCACUUCUGCGCCAACGAGGAGCCCUUCGAGGCAACAGUCAGGGAGCAGCUCUGCGAUCCCAGGGAGACAGACUGGACCCAGCCCAGAGGCCCAGCCGGCCAGCAAAGAGCCGACUGGAAGCCCAGAGGCCCCGAACUCGGAUACCGCUGUGCCAGCCCACCUUCCAGAGUUGGCGUUUGUGGUCCUGAAGGCAGAUUUCAACUUCCUGACUCCCAUGGACCCUGAGGAAAUGAAAGAACAGAUCCUUUGGGAGGUGAGGUCCUGCAAACCCCCCACGCCCCUGCCAGGAGUGCAUACCCCAACACCAAAUCAACAGAGAGGAGACUUUACCCAUGACUUUAGUCUAUUUCCCAAGACCAGGUCAUCCGGCCCGGGUCGCAUCAUCCCAAGGUCCCAGCAGCCUCCUCCUAGAAUCGUUCUUUCUACUUCCACCUACUUGUUCACUUCUAAGUGCUCCCAGUCAGAGACUUGUAGCAUCUGGCAAAUCCAGAGAGAACCAAAUAGUUCCCUUCCCCUGCUUCAUCUCGAUCAGUAGCGUAUACUGAGCAGCAAUUUGCUGCAGAGCACUGUACUUAGCGCUAGGGAGAGUGCACCAGAAGUAAAAAGACACUGUUUCUGCCGUCGAGGAAUUAAAAGUCAGUGGGGAUUGACUAUGGGAAAAUAAUAAUAAUAAUAAUGUUGGUAUUUGUUAAGCGCUUACUAUGUGCCGAGCACUGUUCUAAGCGCUGGGGUAGACAUAGGGGAAUCAGGUUGUCCCACGUGGGGCUCACAGUCUUAAUCCCCAUUUUACAGAUGAGGGAACUGAGGCACAGAGAAGUUAAGUGACUUGCCCACAGUCACACAGCCGACAAGUGGCAGAGCUGGGAUUCGAACUCAUGAGCCCUGACUCCAAAGCCCGUGCUCUUUCCACUGAGCCACGCUGCUUUUGAGUCGAUUCAUUAGCAUGUUUGACGUAUAAGCCAUGGGGUGACUUUUGUUUCUUUGUGAACAAAAUCCUCUCCCAUCAACUAGAGGUGUUUAGUGCGUGCUUAUUGUGUGCAGAGCACUGUACUAAGUGCUUGGGAGAGUACAACAGAGUUGGUAGACACAUUCCCUGCCCACAAGGAGCUUACAGUCUAGAGGGGGAGACAGACAUUAAAAUAUAUUAAGGAAAUGUAGAUGUUAUCUCUUCCCCUCUUCAAAGCCCUAUUGAGAGCCCACCUCCUCCAGGAGGCAUUCCCAGCCUGAGCCCCCCUUGCCCUCUGCUCCUCCUCCCCUCCCCAUUCCCUCCUCCCACCCUCUGCUCUUCCCCAUUCCCCACAGCACUGUGCAUAUUUAAAUAUUAAUUACUCUUUAUUUUAAUGAUGUGUAUAUAUCUAUGAUUCUAUUUAUCUUGGUGAUAUCUACGCCAGACUACUUGUUUUGUCUGUUUUGCUUUGCUGUCUAUCUCCCCAGUUUAGACUGUGAGCCCGUUACUGGGCAGGGAUUGUCUCUAUUGCUGAAUUGUACAUUCUAAGCGCUUAGUACAGUGCUCUGCACAUAGUAAGUGCUCAAUAAAUACGAUUGAAUGAAUGGUGAAAAUCAAGUGAUCAGACCAAUCCAAUAGGUUUUCUGGUUCUUUCAAGAAAGAGCCCCUCCAAGAG
Molecule: long non-coding RNA, 1759 nt
Filed under: Ornithorhynchus anatinus (platypus)
Lineage: Eukaryota; Metazoa; Chordata; Mammalia; Monotremata; Ornithorhynchidae
Description: lncRNA (ENSOANG00000042144.1)
Source: RNAcentral